GUUUUCACUUCAGCAGCACAUAGACUAAAAUUGAAAUGAUACAAAGAAGAUUAGCAAGACUGCUGCUCAAGGAUGACAUGCAAAUUCAUAAAGUGUUUCAUAUUUUU
Small nuclear RNA from Octodon degus (degu), 107 nucleotides. Lineage: Eukaryota; Metazoa; Chordata; Mammalia; Rodentia; Octodontidae. The record is from Ensembl.